UACAGAGACUGCAAGCGUUAUUCGGAUUCACUGGGCGUAAAGGGUGCGCAGGCGGUUGGGUGUGUCAGAUGUGAAAUCCCGAGGCUUAACCUCGGAACUGCGUCUGAAACUACUCGACUAGAGUACUGGAAGGAAGGGAAAGUAAUGAUGGUAGCAGUGAAAUGCGUAGAUAUCGUGAGGAACACCAGAGGCGAAGGCGGUUUCCUGGACAGUUACUGACGCUCAGGCACAAAAGCAUGGGGGAGCAAAAGGG
Molecule: ribosomal RNA, 253 nt
Filed under: uncultured bacterium
Lineage: Bacteria
Description: partial 16S ribosomal RNA
Rfam family: Bacterial small subunit ribosomal RNA
Source: RNAcentral